GCGCAGCGGAAGCGUGCUGGGCCCAUAACCCAGAGGUCGAUGGAUCGAAACCAUCCUCUGCUAUCGGAGUUUUUUCAUUGCCCUGUACGGCAUACGUAAUCUACGUUUCUUUAGUGAAGGAAAAUAUCUUGCCAAUUUUCCUACCUCAAAAAUGCAACCAAUAUCAGCUAUUUUUGCCACUAGCAGUUGAAGUUGAUGGGGAAAAGGGAGUUUAGGCAACUAUGAACACUGCACGUCUAC
This 240-nucleotide long non-coding RNA is filed under the name Homo sapiens (human). RNAcentral describes it as "LHRI_LNC718.1". The stretch from base 1 to 63 matches the Rfam family "tRNA", at positions 10 to 71 of the family's 71-position model. The record is from RNAcentral. Lineage: Eukaryota; Metazoa; Chordata; Mammalia; Primates; Hominidae.